Molecule: ribosomal RNA, 645 nt
Filed under: Candidatus Roizmanbacteria bacterium RIFCSPHIGHO2_01_FULL_37_16b
Lineage: Bacteria; Candidatus Roizmaniibacteriota
Description: bacterial SSU rRNA
Rfam family: Bacterial small subunit ribosomal RNA
Source: RNAcentral
CCUGGGGAGUACGGCCGCAAGGUUGAAACUCAAAGGAAUUGGCGGGGAGGCACACAACCAGUGGAACAUGUGGUUUAAUUCGAAACGAACCGAAGAACCUCACCAGGGUUUGACAUGCCGCCGUUUAUUUUGCUAGAAAUAGUGAGAAAUCCGCAAGGAUGGCGGCACAGGUACUGCAUGGCUGUCGAAAGCUCGUUCCGUGAGGAGUACCCUUAAGUGGGACAACGAGCGCAACCCCCGUCCCGUGUUACAUGUAUCACGGGAUACUGUCCCGCCUUUUGGCGGGAAGGAAGGAGGGGUAGACGUCAAGUCAGCAUGGUCCUUAUACCCUGGGCUACACACAUGUUACAAUGGGUAGCACAACGGGUUUGCUAGAUUGCAAGGUUAAGCGAAUCCCUAAAAUCUACUCUCAGUUGGGAUUGAGGUCUGCAACUCGACCUCAUGAACGCGGAAUUGGUAGUAAUCGCGGAUCAGCUAUGCCGCGGUGAAUACGUUCUUGCCUCUUGCACACACCGCCCGUCAAGCCAACAAAGUCGGGAAAAUUUGAACCCCACCUAUGGUGGGGGAGGAUUCUUCCGGCGAUGGGGGUUAAGUCGUAACAAGGUAUCCGUUCUGGAAGGAGCGGAUGGAUCACCUCCUUUCUAA